RNAcentral lists this ribosomal RNA (497 nucleotides) under uncultured bacterium. RNAcentral's name for it is "partial 16S ribosomal RNA". It matches the Rfam family "Bacterial small subunit ribosomal RNA", at positions 28 to 507 of the family's 1533-position model. The record is from RNAcentral.
GAUGAACGCUGGCGGCGUGCCUAAUACAUGCAAGUCGAGCGAACAGACGAGGAGCUUGCUCCUUCGACGUUAGCGGCGGACGGGUGAGUAACACGUAGGUAACCUACCUAUAAGACUGGGAUAACUUCGGGAAACCGGAGCUAAUACCGGAUAAUAUUUCGAACCGCAUGGUUCGAUAGUGAAAGAUGGCUUUGCUAUCACUUAUAGAUGGACCUGCGCCGUAUUAGCUAGUUGGUAAGGUAACGGCUUACCAAGGCAACGAUACGUAGCCGACCUGAGAGGGUGAUCGGCGACACUGGAACUGAGACAGGGUCCAGACUCCUACGGGAGGCAGCAGUAGGGAAUCUUCCGCAAUGGGCGAAAGCCUGACGGAGCAACGCCGCGUGAGUGAUGAAGGUCUUCGGAUCGUAAAACUCUGUUAUUAGGGAAGAACAAACGUGUAAGUAACUGUGCACGUCUUGACGGUACCUAAUCAGAAAGCCACGGCUAACUACGUG